AGUCUCGAGUGUGUGUAGAUUGCAAAUCUAACGUUUGGUAUUGCGCCAGCCGGGACUU
This 58-nucleotide transfer RNA is filed under the name Austrofundulus leoni. Its description in RNAcentral is "tRNA-Cys". Lineage: Eukaryota; Metazoa; Chordata; Actinopteri; Cyprinodontiformes; Rivulidae. The record is from RNAcentral.